Molecule: long non-coding RNA, 895 nt
Filed under: Vulpes vulpes (red fox)
Lineage: Eukaryota; Metazoa; Chordata; Mammalia; Carnivora; Canidae
Description: lncRNA (ENSVVUG00000011373.1)
Source: RNAcentral
GGAAUCCUGGUGUGAUGGCUGGAGUUUCAGUGGCCGUUUUAAGAGCAUGGGGUGAUGGUCAACCCCCGAAGAAGAAGAAGAAGAAGAAGAAGAAGAUGGAGAAAGGGGCUGGGUCCUUGGUGUCCGCGUGGACUGGCCAUACCAGCCCUGGAUGUCUUGCCUCUGGACUGACAUUAUAGGAGAGAAAGAGAAAUCCUUCUUUUGUUUAAGCCACCAGUUUUCCGGCUUGUGUUACUCCAGUUGAACAUAAUAUCUAAUUGUCAGUGCAAUAAGUACUUUGAUUUUCCGGUCCUAGAAACGUGUUGCCUGUAGCCUGACAGGGCAAUCUGUAGGGUGGGGCCUGGCUGGAGGAGGACCAGGCUGGGGAAACUGUCUCUGGCACUGAUGGAAAAGAGGCAGAGAGAGGCGCUCCGCGCUGAUGACUCUGUAGCUGAGAAAUUGGCAGGCGGCGUUAGCCCCUCUGAGAAUCUCGAAACAGACGGUGUUUGAAGUGGGGUGGGGAUGCCAUCCUGCGUCUUCUAAGAAGCACCUGAGGAUAAAAGCUCUGGAAGCUGAGGUGUCUGUAAAAGUGACAUGCCGAGAAUCACUAACUGGCUGUGAAGGCUCCUCGGGUCCUUUAUGUUCCCUCUGCGUGGAGCAGAAGGCCCCUCCGCUCAAGCAGACGUUGUCCUACCCUCGAGGGGUGAUGAAGAUGAGGUUGAGCAGCAUAAACUCAUCACCUCGAAGAUCAUAAGCUUUCCUCUCUGCUCACCAGUCAGAUGCCCAUUUCUCCCUUGGUCCAGUCAAUGAAGAGUGACAGCCACUAUUUAGAAUUCCAGCAAAGAGCAACCAUAACUGUUUGUCACCUGCUCAGCAUCUAAACAAUGGCCUGGCUGCUCACCUGCCCAGCCUGGAC